RNAcentral lists this long non-coding RNA (296 nucleotides) under Elaeis guineensis (African oil palm). RNAcentral's name for it is "long non-coding RNA (EGUI_LNC021355)". Lineage: Eukaryota; Viridiplantae; Streptophyta; Magnoliopsida; Arecales; Arecaceae. The record is from RNAcentral.
UCCAUGUCUCUCCAAACCCUCAUCUUUGAUCUUGCCGAUCUUUUCGACCUCACCUCCAUCUAUUGGAUCGAUAUUUUAUUAUUGCCCUGGGUCCUCCCAAUCUUGAUCCAGCACAAAUACUUGUUGUAAGUUGGCAUGGCCAAUGAUCUCACUUUCAAUCUAUUUGGCCAACUUAUCUCCCCCCAACUUCUCCCAUGUCACUCAGCAGCCUAUUUACCCUCCUCUUCCCCUCAUGGUCCUUAAAUCUGCUACCACUAGGACCAACUCUGAUCUCUUAUUAGGUUCGGGUUGAGUUC